This 575-nucleotide ribosomal RNA is filed under the name uncultured organism. RNAcentral's name for it is "bacterial SSU rRNA". It matches the Rfam family "Bacterial small subunit ribosomal RNA", at positions 743 to 1329 of the family's 1533-position model. The record is from RNAcentral.
ACGCUGAACGGCGAAAGCUACGGGGAGCGAACGGCAUUAGAAACCCCGGUAGUCCUAGCCGUAAACGAUGGAUGCUAGGUCUGGGGGGUGUAGAUUCCCUCCGUCCCGCAGUUAACGCGUUAAGCAUCCCGCCUGGCGAGUAAGUCUGCAAGGCUAAAACUCAAACGAAUAGACGGGGGCCCGCACAAGCACCGGAGCGUGUGGUUUAAUUCGAUGCUACACGAAGAACCUUACCUGGGCUUGACAUACAGGUAGUAGUGAAGUGAAAGCGGAUCGAUCCUUCGGGGAGCCUGUACAGGUGCUGCAUGGCUGUCGUCAGCUCGUUCCGUGAGGUCUCGGGUUAAGUCCCGUAACGAGCGCAACCCUUGCUCUUAGUUAUACGUGUCUAAGAGCGACUGCCGGCGGUAAGCCGGACGCCACGCUGGGGACGACGUCAAGUCAGCAUGGCCUUUAUGUCCAGGGCUACACACACGCUACAAUGGCCGGUACAAUGGGUAGCUAAACCGCGACGGUGGACCAAUCCUGUAAGCCGUGCUCAGUUCGAUUGCAGCUGCAACUCGCGUGCAUGAAGUCGG